Molecule: ribosomal RNA, 515 nt
Filed under: Leptolyngbya sp. LC3
Lineage: Bacteria; Bacillati; Cyanobacteriota; Cyanophyceae; Leptolyngbyales; Leptolyngbyaceae
Description: bacterial SSU rRNA
Rfam family: Bacterial small subunit ribosomal RNA
Source: RNAcentral
ACCGAUGCUAAUACCGGAUGCCCCGAGAGGUAAAAGAUUUAUCGCCUAGGGAUGAACUCCCGUCUGAUUAGCUAGUUGGUGGGGUAAAGGCCUACCAAGGCGACGAUCAGUAGCUGGUCUGAGAGGAUGAUCAGCCACACUGGGACUGAGACACGGCCCAGACUCCUACGGGAGGCAGCAGUGGGGAAUUUUCCGCAAUGGGGGCAAACCCUGACGGAGCAACGCCGCGUGCGGGAGGACGGUUUGUGGACUGUAAACCGCUUUUAAUAGGGAAGAAGUACUGACGGUACCUAUUGAAUCAGCAUCGGCUAACUCCGUGCCAGCAGCCGCGGUAAUACGGAGGAUGCAAGCGUUAUCCGGAAUUAUUGGGCGUAAAGGGUCCGCAGGUGGCUUAUCAAGUUAGCUGUUAAAGGCCGGGGCUUAACUCCGGACGAGCAGUUAAAACUGGUAGGCUAGAGUACGGUAGGGGUAGAGGGAAUUCCUAGUGUAGCGGUGAAAUGCGUAGAUAUUAGGAA